Entelurus aequoreus (snake pipefish) is the source of this 325-nucleotide long non-coding RNA. RefSeq lists it as uncharacterized. The record is from RefSeq and is a predicted model, not a curated record. The transcript is spliced from 3 exons. Lineage: Eukaryota; Metazoa; Chordata; Actinopteri; Syngnathiformes; Syngnathidae.
GACGUUUCUAGGCUGUCUGGUUAUCGAAGCAGUAGCGGCCGACUCCAUGUUACAAUCCAACAUCCUGAAGACAACAGAUGCCUGUGAAUCCAUCAAAGCUGACACCAUUGAGCCUGCUGACUGGCCACACCAUUUGACUGACACCCUAAGAACUGAAUUACUUGGCUGAAGACCCUAUGAGAAAGAUUUUGUCUUGACCCAAGAACUACAAAGCGGAGAGGAAGCAGGACCAGACUCCCCUCCAGGGACCUUUUCUUUGAACUGUUUUACGACCUUUUCUUUGAACUGUUCUGUAAUCAAAGGCGAUGGCUGUUUACGACCCCCG